CCUACGGGUGGCUGCAGUGGGGAAUAUUGGACAAUGGGCGAAAGCCUGAUCCAGCCAUGCCGCGUGUGUGAAGAAGGCCUUCGGGUUGUAAAGCACUUUCAGUGGGGAAGAAAGCCUUGGGGCUAAUACCCUCGAGGAUGGACAUCACCCACAGAAGAAGCACCGGCUAACUCCGUGCCAGCAGCUGCGGUAAUACGGAGGGUGCGAGCGUUAAUCGGAAUUACUGGGCGUAAAGCGCGCGUAGGCGGUCUGAUAAGCCGGUUGUGAAAGCCCCGGGCUCAACCUGGGAACGGCAUCCGGAACUGUCAGGCUAGAGUGCAGGAGAGGAAGGUAGAAUUCCCGGUGUAGCGGUGAAAUGCGUAGAGAUCGGGAGGAAUACCAGUGGCGAAGGCGGCCUUCUGGACUGACACUGACGCUGAGGUGCGAAAGCGUGGGUAGCAAACAGGAUUAGAUACCCGGGUCGUC
RNAcentral lists this ribosomal RNA (465 nucleotides) under Vreelandella stevensii. RNAcentral's name for it is "partial 16S ribosomal RNA". It matches the Rfam family "Bacterial small subunit ribosomal RNA", at positions 338 to 795 of the family's 1533-position model. Lineage: Bacteria; Pseudomonadati; Pseudomonadota; Gammaproteobacteria; Oceanospirillales; Halomonadaceae. The record is from RNAcentral.